This 467-nucleotide ribosomal RNA is filed under the name uncultured bacterium. RNAcentral's name for it is "partial 16S ribosomal RNA". It matches the Rfam family "Bacterial small subunit ribosomal RNA", at positions 29 to 507 of the family's 1533-position model. The record is from RNAcentral.
ACGCACGCUGGCGGCGUGCUUAACACAUGCAAGUCGAACGGAAAGGCCCUGCUUUUGUGGGGUGCUCGAGUGGCGAACGGGUGAGUAACACGUGAGUAACCUGCCCUUGACUUUGGGAUAACUUCAGGAAACUGGGGCUAAUACCGGAUAGGAGCUCCUGCUGCAUGGUGGGGGUUGGAAAGUUUCGGCGGUUGGGGAUGGACUCGCGGCUUAUCAGCUUGUUGGUGGGGUAGUGGCUCACCAAGGCUUUGACGGGUAGCCGGCCUGAGAGGGUGACCGGCCACAUUGGGACUGAGAUACGGCCCAGACUCCUACGGGAGGCAGCAGUGGGGAAUAUUGCACAAUGGGCGGAAGCCUGAUGCAGCAACGCCGCGUGCGGGAUGACGGCCUUCGGGUUGUAAACCGCUUUCGCCUGUGACGAAGCGUGAGUGACGGUAAUGGGUAAAGAAGCACCGGCUAACUACGUG